This 531-nucleotide ribosomal RNA is filed under the name Triticum aestivum (bread wheat). Its description in RNAcentral is "partial small subunit ribosomal RNA". The record is from RNAcentral. Lineage: Eukaryota; Viridiplantae; Streptophyta; Magnoliopsida; Poales; Poaceae.
AUGAUGCCCGCCUCGGGAGCCGCGAAGGCCAAAGGAAAAGGAGGGGCAACCAAAGAAAGCGACAAAGAAAAAGCCAGAACGAAAUUUUACUCACACUCACACAAGCCAAGCACACCCCAAAGAGGCCAAAGACUCCCAGUCCCAGACCAGACCAGAGUGAGAACCCAAAGCGAAAGCGGAGAAGGAAGAAAGAGAUUGACGAGGACGCGCAGCGGCUGUAGCAGCAGCAGCAGCAGCCAAAUCCAAGACCGCAUUGCUCGCUCGCCCGCCGCCGUGCGGCUCCGACGCUCCUCCGGGGACCCCGCGCCAUUCUCCUGCCGGGCAUCUCUGCCUCUGGUGCUGCCCCGUGGUCCCGAGGUCCCCACCGACGCUGGGACCAGCGCCCGCGGCUGGUGGCGAGCCCCACUGAUGUCCGCUUGCCGCGCGCCGGCGGCCAACGGAGCAAGUGUUGACGUUCCUGUUGCGGCAGAGCAGAGGGACGGCGGGGUCCGCGCGAGGCAGGCCGGGCGCGCCGGCUCUCGCUGCGCCUAG